UUUCAGUUUAUUGUUUCAGGUUUAGCGGAUGGCGGCGGGAAGGCGAAAGUGUGACUGUACACUUCCUCGAUUGAUGAUUAUGAUUUCUAAGAACUCUUAUGUUUAACUAUUUUGAAAACAAAUUUUAAUAUCUGAAUGGUUUUAAAUGAUUUAAAAAGUUUUAAAUUUUUUGUAUGGGUGUUACAUCAAGGGGGGAAAUGUUUCAGACCUGUCAAGAACGCGAACAUGCAAAUCAAAGAAUACUCAAAGGUAUAGUUACUUGCAAUUUUGUAACUGUAACAUCAUAUUAGUUUUUGUUUGAUGAUUUGAUAGUUUGAUGAUUUAAUGGAUUUCACGUUACAAUUUUGUCGAAUUUAAAAGCCCCAAAUCUGCCCGCUCGCAACCCUAAAUCCUUCCCAUCCCGUUUAUCUCCAUGAAAUCAAGUGGAUUCUAGUGCGUUGUGAUACAAGACUCCAUCUUUACCUUAAAUCGGAGCAGAAAUUACACAGCCAAAGACAUCAUAUUUGAAGUCGAUGCUUCCAUCUUUUAAGAAAGUUUCUCUCUGUUAGUUCAUUCCAAGGUGUAUAUUAGAUUUAAGAAUAUCGAAUAAAUUUUAACUUUUGAUGAUAAAGGGUUAGUUCUCAGUUGUAAGAUUUAGACAUAAAGUUUUUAGUCAUAUGAAUUUAAUGAAUGUGAUUUUCAAUUUCUCUUCUGAUUUUAAAAGGAUCGACUUUCAUUUGUGGUAUUUAUGUGGAUUUCAUGCUUAUUUAUAAUAGGUGCCAACAAAAAUAUUACCGUGAAAUUCAACAUUAGGCUAGAAGUAUGCUUUUGUGUAUACGUAUUUAUAUGUAUGUGAGGUUUAUAAGUUCAUGUAAUGUGGAUUAUUGUUUACUUUCUGGUUUGAUUAAUAGUAGAAAUGAUCAAAAGGACGUUAUUCUUCGUCAUCUUCAGAAUCAAGAAAGAAAGCCCACUUUUCCUCAUCUUUUGGUAAUAAUAAUGUUUUAUUUUCUUUUAUUUGCAGCCAAUGAUAAGACCAAUUUAAGCAUUACCAAUAGUUAUUUAUCUAAAUCUACAUUUUUGUCCAUUUACAAUGCUAACAAUAACUUCCUAUCUUACCAUUGACAAAAAUAUCGAUUUUCAUAUGACAUUGCCUUUUAAGAUGAAAAAUUAUGCUUGUGUUAUUAUUUCUCUUGAUUAUAGAUGGAUACUUAUCACAGAUUAGUUGUAUUUAUAAUGACUGCAGGUGGAUCCUAUGAACAGAACCCAUAUAUCUUGCAGGACGUCAUGAUCCUAAUUCUACAAAGGUGUUUACAUCAAAAAGAUUUUAUAUUUACCAUUCUAUGCAAGUUCACUAAUUUCUUUUAUUAAAACUUCUUCACCUAGGAACAUCUAUUAAAGGUAACAAUAGACCAUGAGUUUUUAAAAUUACCUUAAUUAUGUCAUAUGUGAUCUUAAAUUCUGAUGUGUUAGUGUUUGUCAAGGCAAUCGACAAUUCAAGAGUUUGUUGUAACAAAAUUUUGAAAUUGUUUAUUAUUGGCUCCGAUUCUGGUGAGGAUAUGUGUCUGAUUGUUGAUCCUAAAUUAAUUUUAUGUUUUCUCAAAUUCCUAAGUAAGCAUGCUUCUGAUUUGCCUAAUUUCUGAUAUUUUUUUGGAUGGCCGCAUCUGUUGGGUGACGUUACUUCGACAAGUUUUGCCUCCUCGCGCUUCAUUUUGUUCUCUCUAUUGAUCGCAAGAAAUUUUAUUCAACUACAAGACUCCAAUAUAUGAUGACAGGAAUGAUAGUUGUUGUUGCUGCAUAUGUUGGUCAAUAUGUCAUCCAAGCAUGGUAGGUUUCACCUGUUUUCCAUAACUUUUAUCCUUAGAGUAAGGUAUACUACCAAAAGCCCUUUUUUGAAUAAGAGAUUAUGAAUCAGUUUUAUGUUGAAUUGGGGUUUCCAAAUUUAAUGCUCACGUUAUGUUCAUGAUGUAAAGAAGAGGGUACAUUUGCUCACAUUCUAACCACAUGUAUCAAAAUUUCCCCUCCAUUCAAAGGCUUGGGUUUUACUAGACGGUUUACCCAAUUAUCUAGCUUCCCGUGGAAAUGGUGCACUAACAACCUUGGUAUGUUAUGUUUUUUUUUUUUUUAUCCCUGGUCUUAUUGGAUAUUUGGAACGAAAAUUGUUUUGUAUGUCAAUGAUAUUGCUAUGCUUAGGUAAAAUUAUCAAAGUGAAAUGUUGUAAAAGUUAUUAUUAUUAUUAUUAUUAUUAUUGUUGUUGUUGUUUUCAUGGAUAAAGCAGUGAAUGAUGUCUGUUUGGAGUUAAUGUUGUACACACAAAGUAGAAUGCGGAUAAUUGACCAUUUUACCCUUCUAUUUUUUUAAA
Non-coding RNA from Lactuca sativa (garden lettuce), 2338 nucleotides. The record is from RefSeq and is a predicted model, not a curated record. Lineage: Eukaryota; Viridiplantae; Streptophyta; Magnoliopsida; Asterales; Asteraceae.